This 210-nucleotide long non-coding RNA is filed under the name Elaeis guineensis (African oil palm). RNAcentral describes it as "long non-coding RNA (EGUI_LNC039181)". Lineage: Eukaryota; Viridiplantae; Streptophyta; Magnoliopsida; Arecales; Arecaceae. The record is from RNAcentral.
GUUCUCUUAAUUUGGGAUAGAAUUUGCUGUUGGUGCCUACGUGACAAAAGACUUAGAGUUAGAUCACUUAUAUGAAUUUAUUAAAUUAUUUUAAAAUAAAAUAAAAUCUACUCAAAAAGUUUAAGGACCAAAAUAUUUAAGCUCUAAUCUUAACCUCAUGCUCUACCAUCUUUAUGGUUCCACACGAGCCCACCCACUCCCAAUCCCAUA